GAUUAAAAUCAUCAUCUAUUUUACUGUUAAAAACUGGCAUGAUUGACGGACUAACCAGACAAUUACACUUAAGGUGUCAUGUAUACUUCAUGUCGAUGUACAAAGACUUAUUUUUAAUAGUAUAAAUGAGUAAGAUUUUAACA
Molecule: non-coding RNA, 143 nt
Organism: Gossypium hirsutum (cotton)
Lineage: Eukaryota; Viridiplantae; Streptophyta; Magnoliopsida; Malvales; Malvaceae
Source: Rfam